This 253-nucleotide ribosomal RNA is filed under the name uncultured bacterium. RNAcentral's name for it is "partial 16S ribosomal RNA". It matches the Rfam family "Bacterial small subunit ribosomal RNA", at positions 524 to 776 of the family's 1533-position model. The record is from RNAcentral.
UACAGAGGGUGCAAACGUUGCUCGGAAUCAUUGGGCGUAAAGCGCACGUAGGCGGCGCGUUAAGUCGGGUGUGAAAGCCCUGGGCUCAACCCAGGAAGUGCAUUCGAAACUGGCGCGCUUGAAUAUGGAAGAGGGUCGCGGAAUUCCCGGUGUAGAGGUGAAAUUCGUAGAUAUCGGGAGGAACACCAGUGGCGAAGGCGGCGACCUGGGCCAAUAUUGACGCUGAGGUGCGAAAGCGUGGGGAGCAAACAGG